Non-coding RNA from Dermacentor albipictus, 2668 nucleotides. The record is from RefSeq and is a predicted model, not a curated record. NCBI's taxonomy places the organism in Eukaryota, Metazoa, Arthropoda, Arachnida, Ixodida, Ixodidae.
ACGCGUAAGGUCCAUGACCAACCUAUCACGCUCUUCCGCAAACUUAGGGCAGUCACAAAGCACAUGACCUAUAGUCUCAGUCACAUUGCACACCUCACAGUGUGGAGACUCGGUGCGUCGCAUGAGGUGCACGUAUCCGCGCGUAAACGCUACCCCCAGCCUUAGUCUGUGCAGAAGUCUGGCACAGCUUCGUUGAAUUUUCGGUGGUAGCCUAAAAUUCAUGGUGGGGUCCAAUCUCUGGAGUCGUCUGUGGCGAUUAUCCGGAUUGUCCCAGUGCUUUUCUGUCAAUUUUCGGAUGACACUGGAGAGGAGACAGUUGGCGUCCGCUCUUGAAAAAGGAAUUGAAAGCAGUGACUCUCGUUCUUCGAGUGCUUUCUUCGCUUCGGCGCCGGCCAGUUCGUUGCCCUGUAUACCACAGUGACUGUAUUGCCUCUCGGGGAUGGGCAGGUGCUCCCCACGCACGCUAUUCGUCAAACCGAGCUCCCCGUGGAUCAUAGUUUACACUGUAAAAAAUUUCCGUAAUUUUACGGUCAAACCUGCCGUAAAAAUUACGUAGACCGUUCAGUUUCAUGAAAAACGGCGGAAUUCUACGUAAAAAAACGGACGUGAGCUCUGUUUUUGAAAUACGGAAAACCGUCCGUAAUUUCAUGUGGAGGGCAACUGAGCAUGUUAAGAGCGAAAAAUCACCACGCAACGAAUAUAAAGAAAAGACACGGCCCACGUUUACCAGCUGUUACAUAAUAUCACCAUAGGUAACGCUGCUUGAACAUUAUUCAUAGGCGAAUCGUAAGUACGCACACACAAACGGAAGAGGUGUCAGUGGUGGCGCUGCUUACCACCCUUCAUCGCUUCUACACCACGGGUUGCAUUUCUCCGCCGCAACAGUACAGAGUGGACAGUGGCUGGAAAUGGCGGUGUGUGGUGGUGGUAGACCUGUUGCAUUUGGGAUUUCACUGAGAGAAUAAGAAGGAAUCGACGAUGGACUGCUACGCAACUAUUGCACCAGUGAAGGAUGUCUGUGUGCCGGUUUGUGCACAAUUUCUCAGCCAGCGGGCCUGAGAAAGUGUGCCACAGCAGUCUGUGUAGUGGUGCUCUUUGUUCUGGAAGGACGCAAGCAUUGCUGAGGAGCCAUUUGACCUGCCGCCACACUAAUAUUGUAUUUGGCAAAGCCGAAGGCCUCUGCAAGCAGCCAGUCAUUCCAAGUCUCAACCAAUCCUUCCUCUAGUCACCCAAUUUCUAGUGUCUAUGCGGAAAGGAUUUGUGCAAAACUGGACACGGGACACUAAAAAGGCGACAAGGACAGGCGUAAACUUCCAACCGGUGUUCGUUACAAAAAGGUAUGUAUAUGUACUCUUGCACACUUGGUCAUAAUCUGUUACAAUCGUGCAAGUCAACAUGGUCAUCACAAAUAAACAAGCGCACCAAGGCCUAAGGCGGCUUCCCGCAUACAGACCCCAGAUAUUCAGAUUCUUUAACAGUCAGUGCUAUAGGGAUGGCUUGUUAACGCUGUUGCAUUCUGCAAUAGCCGCUGCCUCAAUGAUGAGUCUAGUGUUUUCUUUCACACUGCUUGCUAUUAUUUCUGUUUUUUUCAAACAGUCGAUGACAUUUGCAUUGACAGCAAUGGACUCCAAGGAAACCUCCUUUCCCGUUUUGUACUUUCCGAUUAUGUUCCUGUAGUCUCAAGUUUAGGGAACUUCCCAUUUGUCCCACGUAACGCUGCCUGCAGGAAGGAGGUAUGCUAUACACUAUUCCUCUUGAGCAUUUGAUGAAACCCUUUCUGUGCACAAUGUUGCAUGAUUUUGAUUGUCUGCUGACAGGGCUGGUUUUGGCGCAUAACUUGGAUAGCUUGCGGGGUGCGGAAGAAAUGACCAAGACUGCAGUCUUUUGGCCUAUUUUCUUUAGUUACAUCUAUGUGAUACUGUUCACAGGAAUCUAGCAGUCAUCCCAUACAUUACGCUAUCUUGCAUAAACUAAAGAAAAUAGGCCAAUGGGCGGGAGUUUCGGUCGUUUUACCCGCACCCAUCAAGUUAUCUCAGUUAUGUGCCUAAACCAGCCCUGUCAGCAGACAAUCAAUUUCAUGCAACAUUGCUCACAGAAAAGGUUUAGUCGAAAUGCUCAGGGGGAGUAGUGAAUAGCACACCUCUUUUCUGUGGGCAGCGUUACGUGGGACAAACGGGAAGGUGCCUAAAUAUGAGACUACAGGAACAUAAUACAAAAGUACAAAAGGGAGAGAGGGUUUCCUUGGAAUCCACAACUCCCAAUGCAAAUGUCAUGCACUCUGAAAAAACAAAUAAUAGCAAGCAACGCAAAAGAAAGCACUAGGCCCAUCAUUGAGGGGACAGAUAUCGCAUAAGGCAACUGCGUUAGCAAACUAUCCCUAGCGUUGACAUUAAAGAAUUUGCAUACCUGGGGUCUGUAUGUGGGAGGCCGCCUUAGGCCUUGGGGCGGCCUUAGUGCGCUCUUGUAACUGAUUAUGAUCAAGUGCACAAGAGUAUAUAUACAUGCCUUUUCGUAAUAAACACCAAUUGGAAGUUCGCACCUGUUCUUGUCACCUUUUUAAUGUCCUGCGUUCACUCUUGCGAUGGUCACUUCAGCAUGGAAUACCAACUAGCCCGGUCUCAUACACUGCUUUUUUCAGUAAAGCAGAAUAAACACAGGUUUUUUCAGA